AUUGAACGCUGGCGGCAUGCCUUACGCAUGCAAGUCGAACGGCAGCAUGAUCUAGCUUGCUAGAUUGAUGGCGAGUGGCGAACGGGUGAGUAAUACAUCGGAACGUGCCCUGUAGUGGGGGAUAACUAGUCGAAAGAUUAGCUAAUACCGCAUACGACCUGAGGGUGAAAGUGGGGGACCGCAAGGCCUCAUGCUAUAGGAGCGGCCGAUGUCUGAUUAGCUAGUUGGUGAGGUACAGGCUCACCAAGGCGACGAUCAGUAGCUGGUCUGAGAGGACGAUCAGCCACACUGGAACUGAGACACGGCCCAGACUCCUACGGGAGGCAGCAGUGGGGAAUUUUGGACAAUGGGCGAAAGCCUGAUCCAGCAAUGCCGCGUGUGUGAAGAAGGCCUUCGGGUUGUAAAGCACUUUUGUCCGGAAAGAAAUGGCUCUGGUUAAUACCUGGGGUCGAUGACGGUACCGGAAGAAUAAGGACCGGCUAACUACGUG
RNAcentral lists this ribosomal RNA (490 nucleotides) under uncultured bacterium. Its description in RNAcentral is "partial 16S ribosomal RNA". It matches the Rfam family "Bacterial small subunit ribosomal RNA", at positions 30 to 507 of the family's 1533-position model. The record is from RNAcentral.